CACACACACACACACACACAUAUAUAUAUAAUGGGAUAUUAUAUAUAUUGGGACAUAUAAUGGGAUAUUACUCAGCCAUCAAAAAGAAUGAAAUCUUGCCAUUUACAAGAACAUGAAUGGAACUAGAGUGUAUUAUGCUAAGCAACACAUAUCAGUCAAAGAAAGACAAAUACCAUAUUUCAUUAUUGUGUGGAAUUUAAUAAACAAAACAUAUGAGCGCAUGAGAAAGUCAGGGGAGAGAAGAGAGAGAAACAAAGUACAAGAGACUCUCAACAAUAGAGAACAAACUGAGGGUUAUUGGACAAGGAUGACUGGGGAUGGGCUAGAUGGGUGAUGGGUGUAUUAAGGAGGGCACUUGUAAUGAGCACUGGGUGUUGUAAGUAAGGGAUGAAUCACUGAAUUCUACUCAUGAAAUCAAUAUUGCACUGGCUGUUAACUAACUAGAAUUGAAAUAAAAAUUUGAAAGAGGAAAAAAAGAUGAAAGGCUUUCUAAUGAAAAACUGUAAAUUAGAGAUUAUUAAACCCUGGGACAUUGUGAUAGUUAAUUUUGUGUCAACUUGGCUAGGCCAUAGUACCUAGAUAUUUAGUCAAACAUUAUUCUAGGUGUUUCCUGAAGUUAUUUUUAAGUGAAAUUAACAUUUAAAUUAGUGGACUUUGAACAAAGCAGGUUUUCCUCUGUAAUGUGGGUUACCAACUCUUCCCUCAGUCUCCAGCCUGCCCCUCCUACUGUGCAAAUCUCGGACAAGCCAACCUCCGCAAUUGCUUGAGCCACUUCUCUCUCUCAUCUCCUCUUGGUUCUGUUUCUGUAGCUGAUUAAGACAUUCACGGUUCCAUUUUUUACAAACAUCUUUUCUAGUCUUUAUGGCUAGAUUUUGGGGGUAAUUUUGGGGGGUGGUGUGUAUUGUCACUAACUGCAUACGUAUAAUUGUGUAUUCUUUUAUU
Long non-coding RNA from Acinonyx jubatus (cheetah), 942 nucleotides. RefSeq lists it as uncharacterized. The record is from RefSeq and is a predicted model, not a curated record. NCBI's taxonomy places the organism in Eukaryota, Metazoa, Chordata, Mammalia, Carnivora, Felidae. The transcript is spliced from 2 exons.